AUCAUGGUUUUGCUGCCCUCUAGUGAGCAUACAUUUAACUACUACAGUUUCUGGUACUGUCUGAAAAAUGACAGUCAUAUCUUUUCUGGUUUACAAGGGAGAGGCCACAGCAGAGCAUCUAUCACUUUAAACACAUCUCAUACCUGUGUGAUGAGGUAGCCUUAGCCUGACCUCAUCACCAUUUUAAAAGGGGUUCAGCAGCGACACUGGUGUCAGGAAGUUUAUGGAGCAUCAGCCCCCCUGUUGGAAAGCCAGAGGUAGAUUUCCUCAGCCUUCACAAGCAUCUUCUGGUGACACCAUGGGUUGCCAACGAGGAGGUGAACACCGAGAAGGAUUCCACAGAGAAUGUAGACCUCAACCAGCUAGGCACUAUUCACCAAGGAGUAAUGUGACUGGAGAUUAAAUCUGAGCAACUCACUCUGAGCAACACCAACAGCAAGGACAACCGUAACAAAGAUGUCCUCCCCCUGCAAGAGAGGACGGAGCUGGAGGCAAAUAGCCAAAGAAGAAAAAGAACGCCAUUAGGAAGAUCUUCAGCCGCCUCUGGAGGAUCAUAACGUGUUCCUCUGGGAUCUUCAGAGAGGACGACAACUGAGCUGCCUCCAUUGUAAAUAACUGUUUUACAAGUUGAUACCACCAACUGUAACAUCAUCAUGGCCAAUUAUAUCAUUUUAUGUAAAUAACCCAAAAAUAAAAACUCAAUUUUGCCAAAAAG
Molecule: long non-coding RNA, 715 nt
Filed under: Salmo salar (Atlantic salmon)
Lineage: Eukaryota; Metazoa; Chordata; Actinopteri; Salmoniformes; Salmonidae
Description: lncRNA (ENSSSAG00000089899.1, ENSSSAG00000102452.1)
Source: RNAcentral